Molecule: long non-coding RNA, 9904 nt
Filed under: Malus domestica (apple)
Lineage: Eukaryota; Viridiplantae; Streptophyta; Magnoliopsida; Rosales; Rosaceae
Description: long non-coding RNA (MDOM_LNC011663)
Source: RNAcentral
GCAGAAUACCCUUCUCGAUACUAUGAUUCAGCACACUACGCUCCUGAUACUAUUAAUAACUUAUCUGCUCGAUCGUAUGAUUUGGUGGGUUCCUCUCCUGGUACCCGUGGCCAGCUCGUGAACUUAACAGCUCGAGACUAUGGAUUGACGGGUCCGUCUCAUGUACAUACUAACUCAGAACCUGGGGGCAGUGGUCCAGAUCUGAGUCCAUUAGUCGCACGAUACAGAACAAGUAUACCUGCAAAUGGAAGGACUGGACAGUUAGGAUCAGCAGGAAGCCCUACACCGAUGCGCAUUGCAAGCCCGAACAGUUCCAUCCCCUAUGCCUAUAGGGAUCCGCUUAGGGCGCCUAACUACAAUGACCGGGCGGUGCCUUCCAGCAGUGGCUAUGGCGCACCGUCUCAGCACCCCCCAGCCAUUUACCACCUUUAGUCCAAUCCUAUAGUUCUUGGUAACUUACAUUCACAACCAAUGAUUCCGUUUAGACUACUGUGUUUCGAAUUCAGACCCUUCUUUCUCUGUAAUUUAGAGUAAAGCAAAACCGCAGAAAAACCUUCAUUUAUAUGCAUCAAUUUCUUUAUUUUAACAAAGGGUGGUACAAGUAAAGCAGCCAAAUUGACAUGCCCUUAACAAUUUUGACAUCACUAAAUAUUAGUUUCUACGCCCUCUAUCUUGAAAAAGGCUAUCAAUUCCCGCGGCCCUCCAUCCUUAUCGAGUACUUCUGUUUUGUACUUUCCAGUGGGAUUGGGCAAAGACUCGUCCUUGGCCGCAACAACAAGCAAAUAUAAUGUGCCUGAUUCAUAAAACGAUGUCCGAGCCGAAAUCACUGUUUCAAAUACUAACUUGUUUGUGGCAUUCUUGUUGUUCUCGGAAACGGCUCACUCUCCGAUCUCCGUCGCGUUUAAAUUGAUGCCGUCUAUAGGCUUCCAGGUACUGGGAACGUUGUUUGUUGUAGUAGCGGUUGCCAGAGAAACCAGCAGAGCAAGGAGAGCGAGAAAGAAGCAAUGGGGACGCAUUUUGUAACCCAUGAGUUCGGUUCAAGAAGCAAUGAGUCUUGGGAAAAUUGUUAUUGAUGCAAGGAUAAUCAUACAACAUAUGGUCAAAUACUUGUGGGUAUAUAUAUUAGACAAGCAUGGAUAUGGUGCACUGAAUCGGGACAGACAGGCUAGCUAGUAUAGAAAGCAAUAAUAACGACGAGAAAUUUUUCAAAAUAAUUGGUAUUCAAGCUGAUGCUUCACGUGUUAUAAUAUAUGUGAAGAGAUAAAGAAUUAAUACACUGUAUUUUAACAUUUCCAAAUAACUUCAAUUGUCUUUUAAGUCACUUUCCGUACCUAAUAUGUGUCCAAAUAGAAAUUAUGUGAAAAAAUGGCUAGAUUCAAUGCAAACCAUUAUACGAGGCUCUAAUUAUUCAGGCAAUUAAUCACAUAUAUGAACUUUGUAUAUUUGACAUCUCACAUUCAAUUUACAUGCAAGAGAUUUUGCAGUAUGCUCAGAACAUAGGCACAUAUAUACGUCGUAUGUCAUUACAGAAGUGGAGAGAAACUUGAAAGAAACACUUCUUUUCACUUGUAUAAUAAUAUAUGACGUACCGCUUCGUGUUCUGGACACAUUAAAAUAUUACUUUUUACAUACGUGGCCCUUAUCUGUGAUAUUAUUUUAUUUGGAAAGGUACAAAUUUCAAUAAAAACCAAAACCCAUCCUUCCAAUUUGUAAGAUAAACGGAAUUAGGCAGCAUUCAAUUUAUAGCUUUGCUAUAUCAAACCAUCAGCAGUUCAGCAAUAGUAAGACUGUCCUUCAUCUGUAUAUUUGGAUUUGCUUUACUGAGAACCGAAAACCUACUACGAUACGUCCUCAUUGCUUCCUCGCACUCCUUACUCUGCUUACUCUUGCGGCUGCCGCCGCGACGAGGGAAGUGAGUCCCCCGUGGAAGGAUAUUAAGGACCUCAAGGAUCCAUAUGUGAUAAGCAUUGCAGAGUGGGGGGUCUCAGAAUACAACAAGAAUGUCACAGGCACAAACAAGUUAGUGUUUCAAAAUGUGACUUGGGGGGGAAGCGCGUUUAUUUCAAACACGUUUUAUGGGCCGAUCAUAUGCGGCAAAAAAUUAGUCGUUAACUAUCCCACCAGAAGAGUAUAGACUUGGUGUAUGGGACAGAUUUCUAACCAGGCUAUUCCGGGGCUUAAGAAAAAAUGAUGGCUCUGAUGUUUAGUAUUUCAAAUUUACGGUUUAGUAUUAGGGUUUGUAAGUGUUAAAAGUAUGGACAAUGCUAGGGAGAGUAAAUUUGUAGAGAAAAUUUUGUAAAAUAAAUGACAUAGAAGUCGAUAAUUGAAUUAUGACUUAAGCGUUGAUGAACAUAUUCAUUCCUAUUGGUGACAUACUAUUUAGUUUGUAAAUUUUGUCUACAAAUUUAGUCUCCCUAGCAUUACCAUAAAAGUAUAUACACUUAUGAUUGCAAAUUUUGCCUACAAAAUUAAUCUCCUAGCACGGUGCUUGCGAAAAACAAAAAUAAGAAGUUUCCCAGAAAGUGCAAGGCAAUGCCGGAAUCAAGGUGGGUGAGAUCAAAGCUAUGAAAUAGCAUUGAAAAGGACCACAGACGUCUCAUCGUUAACAACACCCUCCCCGAACACUAGACUGUAGAGUAAAGAAUAUUGUCUUUUGAUGACUUAUCAUUCAACCUUAUCACUGCUGCAAUGGCAGCAUGGUUUAUAUACAGUUUACAUACACGCAUGCAAUAAACAACAAUAAAGGUGACAGAAACUAAAGAAAAAUAAAGAUGGCAGAAACCAUGUGAUUGUCUGGCUGGGAGUAUUCCUUCUGUCGUCCAGGUUGUACAGCUAGUUAGUGGGAGUAUUCCUUCUGUUGUCCAGGUUGUACAGCAGCUAGUGGGAUUAUUAGUGGACAGCUAGUGGGAUUAUUAGCUUCAUCAUUAUUAGCUUCAUCAUCCCCCCGCAAGCUCAUGAGCGGACGACGAACGAGCUUGGAUUUUAAGAAAUGAAAACGAUCAGCAGAUAAGCCCUUGGUGAAUAUGUCUGCAAUCUGAAAAGUAGUAGACACAUGAUAGACAUUUAAUGACUUUGCCACUACAAGCUCACGCACAAAAUGAUAAUCCACAGCAACAUGUUUUGUUCGAGCAUGGAACACGGGAUUAGAUGCCAAUGCAAUGGAGCUUGUGUUAUCACACCAAAUUAAAGCAGUCGAGGGCAUGUUAACCGGUGCUCAAUACCAUUAUUAAUUAAAAAUUGUUGAAAUUCCUUACUCAUAAAUUCACCCCCGCCAUCAGUUUGGAAAGAUUUUAUCUUAUAAACAGUAUGGAUAGAUAGAAGAUUUUCAAGAAGCAAUUUAAAUUUUUGAAAAUAAGAAAAAGCUUCAUGUUUAAAUCUCAUAGGAAAUAUCCAAGUAUAACGAGAGUAAUCAUCAAGAAAUAUUAUAAAAUACUUGGAACCCUUAACAGAGGCAAUUGGUGAAGUCCAAACAUCACAAUGAAUCAAUUGAAGAGGACAAACUGAAACUGAUGGAGACAAAGCAAAAGGUAAUUUAGUGCUUUUGCCCAAUGGGCAAGCAGAGCAAAAACUAGGGAACUAGAAUCCUUAAUAGGAAUAGAGGACAUAAUUUUUUUAAAAAUUGCAGGAGAUGGAUGACUGAAACGCUGAUGCCACAUAAAUGAAGAGGUUCGUUGUCCAAAUAAUGCCACGUUCUUGAAAGGAAACUUUUCCACACGAAACGGAUACAAUCCAUUCUCACUCUUGCCGUGGAAAAGCGUCUUCCCCGUGGAUAGAUCCUUCACAAAAAAAUCAGUAGGAGUGAAAAUGAAGUAGCAAUGAUUAUCACAACAAAAGCGAUGAACGCUCAAUAGAUUAGCAGAAGCAGAAGGACAAUGCAAAACAGAAUUUAAAGGAAAUUGAGACACAAAACCAGAACCAAUAUGCUUUAUAGACAAACCUGCACCAUUACCAACCGCGACCUGGUCUUGGCCAGUAUAUUCUGUGGAAAGGCUCAAAUUAGCUAAAUCAUUGGUGAUAUGGGACGAUGCGCCACUGUCGGUAUACCAUGUAGGGAACCGUGCAUUAACCACAGGAGAGGCAGCCAUCAUAGCAUGUGAUUGUGGAUAGCGGCCUUCGGAAAAAGGAGACUUGAAACAAUUUGCGGUAGAAUGACGAUGAUCACCACAAUAGUUACAAAUAUUAGAGGAAGAAGGAGCAUCCGCAGCAUGGUUGGGAAGAUAGGAAGAGCGACGAAGACCAGCAUUUGGUGUAGGAAGAAGUCCUCGAUUCUGAAACGAGCCACGACCGGAUCCACCAUGAAACAAACCACUGUUUGAACCACCACGACGGCCAACAAAAGGAUUACCAGCACUGCGACCUUGAAAAAAGCCACGACCUUGAAAACCACCACGACGGAAUGAGGAUGUACGACCAUUUCCUCGGUGAAGUGUGGUUCCACGACCAGGAUUGGGAGUGGAGCCAGAAGGGGCAAAGAGAGCUGUUGUGGUGUGAUCAGGACUGAAAGUAGUGCUAUAGUCGUCCAUACGGCUUUCAGCGCUCAAGAGCAAAGCAACCAUAUCGUCAAGACUCAUAGGAUUUUCUCUUGCUUGAACCGAAGUAACUAUACUUUCGAAAGCAGGACCAACACCAUUCAAAAUCAGCUCCAUAAGAUCAUCGUCAUCAACAGGUUUUCCCGCAAGAGCCAAUUGAUCAGCAAAGUUAGUUAAUUUAUCAACAUAGUCUGUGAUGGACAUGUUACCUCUUUUAGUGGACUGCAUCUGGUGCUUAAGUUGAAGAACACGGGUGCGAGAUUGAGAAGCAAAACGUGUUUUCAGAGUAUCCCAAGCAGCUUGGGAUGUGUCACAGGUUGCGACGAUGGAAAGCACAUUGGGUGUCAAAGUUGAGUUAAUCCAACUUAACAAUUGUUGGUCCUGUCGCUGCCAAGUUACGUACUCGGGAUUGAGAGUAGAAGUAUUCUCAAGAAACUUGGUUGGACAUGUUUUUGUACCAUCAACAUAGGCAACAAGAUCAUUACUUUUAAGUAAGGGAUUAAACUGGGCAAGCCACAACAUGUAAUUGGUUCGAUCAAGUUUGAUGGAAACCAGAUAGGAAAUAUUAGGAAGGGAGCUGGUAAGAAGAGAAGAAGAAGCAGCCAUGGAAGCGGAAGAAAAUUUGAGAAGAAGGGAAGGCAGAAAAAAAAAAAAAGGCAAGAAGAAAGAAAAAUAUGAGGAUCGUCAUGCUGGCGACCUUGGAAAUGUCACUGUUGGGGAUGAUGGUAGAUAACCUUUUCUUCUUUUGCUCUUUCUAACUGUUUUGUAAUUGCCUGGAACACUCUUUUAUGUUUUCACGCCUUGAUACUUACGGGCUAAUGACAGCUUAAUGUGUUUCUUAUCUCCUUGCUUCAGGAACUGCAACCUUCACUCUUAUUGACAAGCAGGUUUGUGAUUGACCUCCCCAAUUAUUAUUUGUUUAUGCUAUUAUUAAAACUUACGUAUUCAGAUAGCUCUUGAGUUUCAUUUCAUCUUUUAUAAAGGUUACAUUAUUGUUUGCAGAUACCUCUAACCGGACCACACUCUGUCAUUGGUAGGGCAGUUGUUGUCCAUGGCGACCCAAAUGACCUGGGCAAGGGUAAUCUUUAUUGUUCUCUCACUCCUCUCUCUCUUAAGUGGUUCCAUCUUAUAGUACUGAUUAGCUAGUCAGUGUGAUGGGCGCGCCUUAUCAUCAUUCAGUGGGUCACCCCACUUCACGUCUAUCUGUGACCUGCAGUGAGCACUCUUGUACGUACGGGUAGUUUUAGCCUGCUUCUGAUUCCAAUUGGUAUACAAUAGCUUCUACAUAGGUGCAAAUCAUUUGGGGAUCGGUAUUUUGGUUUUCAUCAUUGCUCUAUCUUGUGCUCCUCAUCCUUUCAAAUGAGCUACAGACUAGCGGGUGACUGUCAGUUUGUUGUUCCUCAGAGUUAUUUUCUAUUUCCUUAUAAAUUUUAGUUACCAUUUAGGUUUAAGCAUGAACAACCUUACGGCUACAUUAUUUCUCUACUCACAGUGAAUGCACUUGGAAUCCGAUAUCCAAUGUAAUCCAAUACUUGUGUUUCUGUACACAGGUGGACAUGAGCUUAGCAAAUCCACUGGAAAUGCUGGUGGCAGGGUAGCUUGUGGUAAGCUAAUUUGCUUAAUCUCAUCAAACCCAAUGUUUUUGCUAUAGAAUUAAAUGUCAUAUAAUUUUGGACCAUUCUUGUUGGAUGAUCAUGGUAAGGCGCUUUCAACAUCGAUAGAAAACGGAAUGUCUUCCCUAAAAUUACAAUAGAUGACUAUUUGCAAAAUCUUGGACCGUCUCCGUCACCAUUCCAGAUGAGGAUGGAAAACUUAAACCAAGUUGUGGUUUAUAUACACGGCCCCUGUUUUUGUGUUUGUCUAUAGGCAUCUACCUAGGUUGCGUAGUUUUUAUAAUGUUAUUGUGGAGAUCUCUGUGUUGCGUAGUUAUACUGAUUCGUGUCCGUCAACAUGCUUCUAAUUAUGUUCCGGUGUGUCUACUUUUGUGCAGGUAUUAUCGGUCUGCAAGGAUGAACUUGAGCACCAAGCGAAAGACAUGGAGUUUCAGUUAAAUGUAUGAAGUUUCUAUAAGCCUGAGAGAAAUUUAGAACUCUUUUGAAUAAGAAAAAUACAUGUCUUGUUUAGCUGACAGUGUUUGGUGUUUAAAAUUCUGUCCAAACUUCAUUGACUGGAAAUCUUGGAUGCAUAAAGUGCUUAUGAGUUUGAUCAUGUGUGUUUCUUUCGUUCUCAUUCGUUGAUCGUUAUUUCAAGGCCUGAAACUACUUCUGGAAGUGAUAAAAAAACGCUUGUUCUAAAAGCGUUCCAAUAGCAUUGUACGUCUUACAAAAGCAAAUUUCAAAUGGAUCAAGGCCUGAAAUUGCUCGUGGAAAAGCUAAAAACGCUUUAUGACAAUCAAAAGCAAUUGCGAGUCAUAAGAAAACUUGUAAAUACGUUUUAUGAGCAUAAGUGUCUUUCAUAAGCAAAUCGCAAAUGGAUUGGGGAGCAUGAAACUGCUUCUGAAAGAGCUAUAACAUUUUUUUUUGACAUCAAAAAAGAUUGUGAGUCAUAAAAGUGCUUAUAAACAAAAGUGCGUCCUACAUAAGCAAAUCGAAACUGCUUCUGAAAGAGCUAAAACAUUUUUUUUGACAACAAAAAAGAUCGUGAGUCAAAAGCACUUACAAACAAAAGUGUGUCUUCCGUAAGCAAAUCACAAACGGACACGGGGUCAAAUUUGAGUUUAUACAGAUUUGGCCCAAACAAAUAGUUUUGGGCCAAAAUUUGCUUAAUAGCAACAACACAAACUCACGUGCGAAACGAACUUACGUUAACUGGUUUCGGUUGACGCCACUCCUCCUCCACAAUUUCUAGGGUUCCAUUAUUAGUUUAGCAAAUUACAAUCGAAUCCGCUCUCCGGUUUCUACUAUAUAAUCUCGCCAAGCGAUGUCGACCACCGUCGACAAAAUCUCGGGCGACCUUCACAUGACGCCGGAGCUACGCAAAUCCUUCAACCUCCUCAAGACCCACGCCUCCAAAGUUGCCAACUUUACCCUCCAAUGGCAGGACCUCGAGGAGCACUUCCGCUCCAUCGACAAUUCCAUCCAAUCCAAGCUCGACCAACUCCAAAAACAACAAUCGGAAGAGGCCCAUGUCGCUCCGGCUCCGCAAUCGCAACCCAAAGAACCCGAAUUGAAUUUUAAACCCAAUUCCGAAGAACCCCAAUUGGGCUCCGGUGACGCCCAAUUGAGUUCGAAAGAAUCCCAAGUCACCGCCACCCUCCAAUCCUUGAAAACCCAAUUCGAUUCCGUCGAAACCCAAGUCAAAACCGACGAGCCUUUGCCGGAAAUGUCGACCUGCAAUGGCGUCCCGAUAAAUGACGGCAAGGCGUUGCUGUUGUAUGUGAACGAGCAUUUGAAAGAGAGGGGUUUGGUGCGUGACGGUGUUGCGAAUGCGCUUAAGGCUUCUGUGGAUGCUGGGAAGCUAGUGCUCGAGGCAGUGAAAUGGUUUUAUCCAUCAGAAUCGAAUAUGGGAGGUAAGGAGCUUGACGUCACUGUUACUAGGAAAAGUUGUGCGAUUUUGUUACAAGCGCUGGUGAAUGUGAAACCAGUGAUUAAACCCGAUAUCAUCAGAGAGGCAAUGAAGCUUGCAUUGGCUUGGAAGGCAAAGGUGAUAACUCAAAUGUCGAACUCUUCGGAGGUUUGGGCUUUUUUUCAGCUUCUGGAUGCUUUUGGGAUGGGUGGUGAGUUUGACAGUGAUGAGAUUUUGAAGCUUUUUAGUUGCGUAGCAGAUCAGAAUUCUGCACCGGAGUUGUUUAGGUCCCUUGGUUUCGCCGAUAAAGCCUCUGGUGAGUUUUUGGAGAGCCUUCUUUAUUGUUGUUCCUAUCUUUUUAUGAGACAUUUAAUUUAUAGAUUGCUUUCAGUGUUGAGUACUUGUAGUUUUACUCCUAUGAAUUCAAUGAUGGGUUCGGUAUGGUGGAGAUUGUGUGAUAUUUUUCUAAACAAAAGCAUACAUAGUUUCAGGGAAAUCUACUUAGUUUGAGUGCACCCUUACGGACAAAGUUAUGUAAGUAUCUGUUGAUAGUUGAUACAACGAAUGUCACCUUGUGAGGUUGCCUUUACGGUUUUAGAAGAAAUCAUGGGAAGAAGGUUAUGCUCUUGUUAUUUUAGAUGUCUUCUAUUAAGUUCUGCUAGAAAUUCUCCUGAUAUAUAUGUCUUGAAAUAGAAAAUGUUUAGUUUUUGGUUUUUGCUACCUCCUUUUUUUGUAGUCGGUUAACUCUUUUUUUUUUUUUUUUUUUUUUUUGUGACGCAGAUUUCAUCCAAAAGCUUAUAUCAGAGAAUAAGCGGGUUGAUGCUGUUAGAUUCAGUCGUGCAUUUGGACAGUUUGACAAGUUCCCCCCUGUACCCUUGCUUAAAGCACAUUUAAAGUUCAUCACGAAAGAUGCAAGGACUAGUUCCGAGAGGGGGCAAGACAGUCUUAAAGCACAGGUAUAGGUGGUGUUUCUUUUGCCUCAUCAACCGUCCUUAGACUCAGAAUGAACUUUUAUAUAGUGUUGAUCAUUAAAUCCCCUGCAGGAUGAGUCCAUAGACAAAGAAAUAGCUGCUCUAAGAGGCAUAAAACAUUGCGUUGAGAACUACAACCUUGUUGUUGAACCAGAAUAUUAUCCCAAGACCCUCGGAAAACGCAUUAGGCAGCUGAAAAGGGGGAGAAAAGAGAGGAAAGCAACUCUAAGAGCUCUUGGCCCUAAGGCUCAGCCGCAACCCCUGAGUGGAAAGAAACGUACUGCCCCAGAUCAGCCAAAUAAGCAGAACAGAAAUAAGCAUCCUCGAACAGCUCCAGCUUUAGCUGCUCAAACUGUUUCUCUCAGAGGACCAGCCACAGUACACGCUAUACAACCAUCUUAUAUUCGCCAAGAAAGCUUGUAUGACAGUCGAAGUGCAGAAUACUUGCUAUCGUCGGCUGGAAUGCCCCGACAAGCAACCACCCCGCCCAGUACUUCUUAUGGCACCAUUUCCACCUUGAACCCACUGCGAGCAUCUCAUCAUCAGCAAGGAGGCUCAUUCAUCGGUCAAGGUGCGGAAUACCCUUCUCGAUACUAUGAUUCAGCACACUACGCUCCUGAUACUAUUAAUAACUUAUGCUCGAUCAUAUGAUUUGGUGGGUUCCUCUCCUGGUACCCGUGGCCAGCUCGUGAACUUAACAGCUCGAGACUAUGGAUUGACGGGUCCGUCUCAUGUACAUACUAACCCAGAACUUGGGGGCAGUGGUCGUGUAACUUCAGAUCUGAGUCCAUUAGUCGCACGAUACAGAACAAGUAUACCUGCAAAUGGAAGGACUGGACAGUUAGGAUCAGCAGGAAGCCCUACACCGAUGCGCAUUGCAAGCCCGAACAGUUCCAUCCC